GUGUUGUCUGAACAGAGAGAAGGCUAGCACUCCCCUUGACAAGGGUGGAAGAGGCUCUCGGGCUAACAACACUGAUACAGUGAAGGCAUUGCUGCCUACUUUAUGGCAUCUGACCAUCAUUUUAA
Molecule: small nuclear RNA, 125 nt
Organism: Myotis daubentonii (Daubenton's bat)
Lineage: Eukaryota; Metazoa; Chordata; Mammalia; Chiroptera; Vespertilionidae
Source: RefSeq, a predicted model, not a curated record